AUACAGAGGGGGCAAGCGUUAUUCGGAAUUAUUGGGCGUAAAGGGCGCGUAGGCGGUGAUGUAAGUGAGAUGUGUAAUCCCCGAGCUUAACUUGGGAACUGCAUCUCAGACUGUGUCGCUAGAGUACUGGAGAGGGUGGUAGAAUUCCACGUGUAGCGGUGAAAUGCGUAGAGAUGUGGAGGAAUACCAGUGGCGAAGGCGGCCACCUGGACAGUAACUGACGCUGAGGCGCGAAAGUGUGGGGAGCAAACAGGAUUAGAUACCCUGGUAGUCCACGCUGUAAACGAUGAACACUUGGUGUGGUGGGAGUUGACCCCUGCCGUGCCGGAGCUAACGCGAUAAGUGUUCCGCCUGGGGAGUACGGUCGCAAGGCUGAA
RNAcentral lists this ribosomal RNA (377 nucleotides) under uncultured bacterium. RNAcentral describes it as "bacterial SSU rRNA". It matches the Rfam family "Bacterial small subunit ribosomal RNA", at positions 523 to 898 of the family's 1533-position model. The record is from RNAcentral.